Molecule: ribosomal RNA, 704 nt
Filed under: Antiquarion swausi
Lineage: Eukaryota; Metazoa; Mollusca; Gastropoda; Stylommatophora; Helicarionidae
Description: partial 16S ribosomal RNA
Rfam family: Bacterial large subunit ribosomal RNA (bases 455-617)
Source: RNAcentral
UAAUAAGUACUGUAGAGAUGUUAAGAGAAUUAGUUAUAUAUUUUUUUCCUUUUGCAUAAUGAUUAAACAAAAUUUUAUUAAAUAAUUAAACCCGAAAUUAGAGGAUCUAAUUUUUUUUAUAAUAUUAGGAAAAAUAACUUAAUGUUUCAUAAUUUUUUAACAAAAUUAAAUUAGUGGUGAAAGGCUUAACAAAUCUAAUAAUAUCUGGAAUGAUUUUAAAUGUAUUUAGUACAGAAUUAGUUUUGAUUAAAAUAAUGUUAAGAUUUUUUUAUCAAAUAGAAUAUUUAGUAACUAUAAUUUAUAGAUUAAACUUUUAAUAAAUAAUUAUUAUAUUGAUUUUUAAAUAAAAAUAUAUCUAUAAAAUAUAAGGUCAUAUCAAUAAAAUUAUAUAAAAGAGUAACUAUGUUUAAAUAAGUAUAAAUAAUUAUUUUAAUGAAAGGAACUCGGCAAAUGUAUUAUUCAACUGUUUAUCAAAAACAUAGUCUUAUGAAAAUAAUAAUAUAAGAUUAAACCUGCCCAGUGAGCAUUUUAACGGCCGCAGUACUUUGACUGUGCUAAGGUAGCAUAAUAAUUUGACUCUUAAUUGGGGCCUUGAAUGAAAGGAUUAAUGAAAUAAUUUCUGUCUUUUAUUAAUUAAUUAAAAAUUACUUAGAAGGUGAAAAUUCCUUUAGGUUAUACUAUAGACGAGAAGACCCUAGGAGUUU